UGGGGAAUAUUGCACAAUGGGCGCAAGCCUGAUGCAGCCAUGCCGCGUGUAUGAAGAAGGCCUUCGGGUUGUAAAGUACUUUCAGCGGGGAGGAAGGUGUUGAGGUUAAUAACCUCAGCAAUUGACGUUACCCGCAGAAGAAGCACCGGCUAACUCCGUGCCAGCGGCCGCGGUAAUACGGAGGGUGCAAGCGUUAAUCGGAAUUACUGGGCGUAAAGCGCACGCAGGCGGUCUGUCAAGUCGGAUGUGAAAUCCCCGGGCUCAACCUGGGAACUGCAUUCGAAACUGGCAGGCUAGAGUCUUGUAGAGGGGGGUAGAAUUCCAGGUGUAGCGGUGAAAUGCGUAGAGAUCUGGAGGAAUACCGGUGGCGAAGGCGGCCCCCUGGACAAAGACUGACGCUCAGGUGCGAAAGCGUGGGGAGCAAACA
Molecule: ribosomal RNA, 427 nt
Filed under: uncultured bacterium
Lineage: Bacteria
Description: partial 16S ribosomal RNA
Rfam family: Bacterial small subunit ribosomal RNA
Source: RNAcentral